AUUCCUACGGGAGGCAGCAGUGGGGAUAUUGCGCAAUGGGCGAAAGCCUGACGCAGCAACGCCGCUUGCGGGAUGACGGCCUUCGGGUUGUAAACCGCUUUCAGCAGGGACGAAGGGUUACCUUGACGGUACCUGCAGAAGAAGCACCGGCUAACUACGUGCCAGCAGCCGCGGUGAUACGUAGGGUGCGAGCGUUGUCCGGAAUUAUUGGGCGUAAAGAGCUUGUAGGCGGUCUGUUGCGUCGGAAGUGAAAACUCAGGCUUAACCCUGAGCCUGCUUUCGAUACGGGCAGACUUGAGGAAUAUAGGGGAGAACGGAAUUCCUGGUGGAGCGGUGGAAUGCGCAGAUAUCAGGAGGAACACCAGUGGCGAAGGCGGUUCUCUGGACAUUUCCUGACGCUGAGAAGCGAAAGCGUGGGGAGCAAACAGGCUUAGAUACCCUGGUAGUCCACGCCGUAAACGGUGGGCACUAGGUGUGGGACCCAUUCCACGGGUUCCGUGCCGAAGCUAACGCAUUAAGUGCCCCGCCUGGGGAGUACGGCCGCGAGGCUAAAACUCAAAGGAAUUGACGGGGGCCCGCACAAGCGGCGGAGCAUGCGGAUUAAUUCGAUGCAACGCGAAGAACCUUACCUGGGUUUGACAUAUGCCGGAAACACCUAGAGAUAGGUGCCCCGCAAGCCGGUACAGGUGGUGCAUGGCUGUCGUCAGCUCGUGUCGUGAGAUGUUGGGUUAAGUCCCGCAACGAGCGCAACCCUCGUUCUAUGUUGCCAGCGGGUUAUGCCGGGAACUCAUAGAAGACUGCCGGGGUCAACUCGGAGGAAGGUGGGGAUGACGUCAAGUCAUCAUGCCCCUUAUGUCCAGGGCUUCACGCAUGCUACAAUGGCUGGUACAAAGGGCUGCGAUACCGCAAGGUGGAGCGAAUCCCAGAAAGCCAGUCUCAGUUCGGAUUGGGGUCUGCAACUCGACCCCAUGAAGUCGGAGUCGCUAGUAAUCGCAGAUCAGCAACGCUGCGGUGAAUACGUUCCCGGGCCUUGUACACACCGCC
RNAcentral lists this ribosomal RNA (1044 nucleotides) under uncultured Propionicicella sp. RNAcentral describes it as "bacterial SSU rRNA". It matches the Rfam family "Bacterial small subunit ribosomal RNA", at positions 335 to 1394 of the family's 1533-position model. The record is from RNAcentral. Lineage: Bacteria; Bacillati; Actinomycetota; Actinomycetes; Propionibacteriales; Nocardioidaceae.